CAGGUCUGGCCACCACCAAGCCGGCUCCCCACAGAAGUGAAUGGGAGAGUACCGCACAUGAGCGGCGCCCUCUCUCAUUCAUUUCUAUGGGGCCAACGGAAAUAGCUUAGCCAGCUCUCUGCUAUUUUCGCCAGCCCUAUAGAAAGUGAAUGGAGGGAGGCUCCGCACUGCGCACCCCCUU
This is a long non-coding RNA of Bufo bufo (common toad), 181 nucleotides long. RefSeq lists it as uncharacterized. Lineage: Eukaryota; Metazoa; Chordata; Amphibia; Anura; Bufonidae. The transcript is spliced from 3 exons. The record is from RefSeq and is a predicted model, not a curated record.